Molecule: ribosomal RNA, 869 nt
Filed under: uncultured archaeon
Lineage: Archaea
Description: bacterial SSU rRNA
Rfam family: Archaeal small subunit ribosomal RNA
Source: RNAcentral
GGUUGAUCCUGCCGGACCUGACUGCUAUCGGAUUGAUACUAAGCCAUGCGAGUCAUUGUAGCAAUACAAGGCAGACGGCUCAGUAACGCGUAGUCAAUCUACCCUAUGGACGGGAAUAACCUCGGGAAACUGAGAAUAAUGCCCGAUAGAACAUUAUGCCUGGAAUGGUUUAUGUUUCAAAUGAUUUAUCGCCAUAGGAUGGGACUGCGGCCUAUCAGUUUGUUGGUGAGGUAAUGGCCCACCAAGACUAUUACAGGUACGGGCUCUGAGAGGAGUAGCCCGGAGAUGGGUACUGAGACACGGACCCAGGCCCUAUGGGGCGCAGCAGGCGAGAAAACUUUGCAAUGUGCGAAAGCACGACAAGGUUAAUCCGAGUGGUUUCUGCUAAAGAAACCUUUUGUCAGUCCUAGAAACACUAACGAAUAAGGGGUGGGCAAGUUCUGGUGUCAGCCGCCGCGGUAAAACCAGCACCUCAAGUGGUCAGGAUGAUUAUUGGGCCUAAAGCAUCCGUAGCUCGUUUUGUAAGUUUUCGGUUAAAUCCAUGCGCUUAACGUAUGGGCUGCCGGGAAUACUGCAUAACUAGGAAGUGGGAGAGGUAGACGGUACUCGGGAGGAAGGGGUAAAAUCCUUUGAUCUCUUGAUGACCACCUGUGGCGAAGGCGGUCUACCAGAACACGUUCGACGGUGAGGGGUGAAAGCUGGGGGAGCAAACCGGAUUAGAUACCCGGGUAGUCCAGCUGUAAACUAUGCAAACUCAGUGAUGCAUUGGCUUAUGGCCAAUGCAGUGCUGCAGGGAAGCCGUUAAGUUUGCCGCCUGGGAAGUACGUACGCAAGUAUGAAACUUAAAGGAAUUGGCGGGGGAGCACCAC